CCUCUGCCCCGCCCCCGCGGUCAGAUCAGCUUUCGAAGAAGCCGGAACCAAGUCCCAAAGUUGCUGCUCAACUGCUCAACUUGCGGCUGGCCGUGCCCAGGAGAGGUGCGAUAGGUCUAGCCCUAGUACCCCGCAUGCGCUCACUCCUGCGCUGGUCCGCUGAGCCACGACUGCCAGGGACCCCAAGAGCCAGGCCAAUGGGGACACCCGGGGAAGUCAGUGAGGGCAGCCUCUCAGACAGGGUGAUCCCUGCCCUGCUCCCAGGAUCCCCCAGGGUAUAAAAUGCUCAAGUUCUGUGCCAGGGCUUCAAAGCAAUGCCUCCUCGAAGCCUUCUCUGCCACCCAGCUUCCAUCACCCUGAUUCAGGCCUUUUCUUGGCAGAACAACUGCAAAAGAUACAAAACUUAGUUGCUGUUGGCUGGCUGGUUUAAUUCAUUUGCAUAUACAUAAUUCAGUCCCACCCCUCGUGGCUAAUACCCUACUUGGGGAGCUGUGGCUGUUUUCUGAUUGCUGGUAGGAGGCCUAUGUG
Bos taurus (domestic cattle) is the source of this 528-nucleotide long non-coding RNA. The record is from Ensembl. Lineage: Eukaryota; Metazoa; Chordata; Mammalia; Artiodactyla; Bovidae.